Molecule: long non-coding RNA, 1230 nt
Filed under: Cavia porcellus (domestic guinea pig)
Lineage: Eukaryota; Metazoa; Chordata; Mammalia; Rodentia; Caviidae
Description: lncRNA (ENSCPOG00000036212.1)
Source: RNAcentral
GCGUGGGCCGGGGGUUGCCUUGGAGUCUGGCGCCCACCUUGUUUCCCACUCCCUGCCUUCCCGCUCCGGGAGCCCGUCCCUGGCCGAGCCCCAAGAACCUGAUCCAGCGGGAGUCCCCGAAGUUUGCUCCCUUUGGGUUUAAAAAAAAAAAAGUUGCCGCUCGCCAGCCCAACUUUUUCUUUACGUGGAGGAGCGCAGAGCGCGUCUCCUGGGUGGAGACUUCACUUCCAGUCCAGCCAGAUGGGGCGCCCAAGACUGUGGCGGACAUGUGGAGGGACCUAGGAUCUGCUUACCACCUUCCUGGGGACAGCAGAUUGGCACGGAUGCUUAUCUAGGGUGGGGCUUCCAAGAGGACCCCAAAGGCUUGGGCAUGGGCCAUAGGGGUUAGGGAUCAGGCGAGGUCUGGCUCCAACAUCCACCCUGCUCUAGGGCCUUCAGGCUUCCCGGGCCUGGGAGGCUACCCCAAGCCUGACUCAUUCCCCCCAACCUCCUCCAGGGCUGCAGGGCUCUGGUUUAGAAAGAAGGAAUCAGUGUGCAUUAAGGAGGCUUUAAACGUUAAGCCUCCCGCGCUGCCUUUGAAAAAAAGCUUCAGUCUGCAAGGCCCUCCGCAAUCCUGUCCAUCCUGUCCGCGCAGACUCUGUGUGAAAUUCCCCAACUCCCUUCAACCCCGUGCUUCGGUAAAGGGGAGAAAGAGGGAAGACAGGCAGAGGCCAGGUCAGCGCUAACUGAAGGGUUAUGCAUUGCGUUUCAUCUCCGUGUCUGCCACAUAGACGCUUGUCUUUCCUAGGUGCCAAAUAAUUGCACAGGAAACAGUGACAGAAUCUGUGUGUGCUGAGAAACAGUUCAGCUGCAGGCCCUGCCAAGUGUCCAGGCAGGUUGACUCCCCGCCAAGAGUUCAGGUCCUUUUGGAGCAUGAACGUGGCCCCAUGGUGUGGGCAGAACUGCAUGCACCAGCGGGGGCAGCUCGGGGGGCUCCAGCCUGGCAAAGAGCAGCCUUCAGGGGAGAUGUGGAGAGGACAGGUGUGUGCAGCCAGGUGUCAUGGGGGCAGUGGGGUUGGGCGAGCCCUAGGGAUCAGCACCCUGCAUUUCCAUGUUCCCUGCAGGUGGUUCUCGGCUUCCCUUGGGAGCCGCAAGGCUGUGCUUCCAGCCGGAGUGCACCAGGCUUGCUCAGCUCUUAAUGGGGGCACCCCAGCAUCCACAGAGCCCCUCUCUAUACCUGCAGUCCAGCCA